ACCCUAACGCUAGCGUCCCGGCGCCGCGCAUCUAGAUGGGCAGUAGCACGGUUUCACUUCACUCUCUUCCAUAGUGGAAACACGAUAUGGCAGCUUUGUCGUGGACUGGACCUACGAUUAGAGUUCGCGUCAGCCGCUGCAGGUAGUGAGACACGACAGAACUUCCGUGUCAAUUUGAUGUUAAGUAAAGGAAGCGCAUAUUUCUUGGCCGUUCACAUUUAUUGUGAAUGCCACUGGAGAGAGGAUUUCAGUGUAUUUAAUUCGAAUUACUUCGGAAGCCUGUUGAAGUGACUUAUACCAUUAUGCCACAAUCUCAGCUGAUCAAGCGACUUGAAUCUGAAGCUAAUGGAACACGUCCCUUCAUCAACCUGAGUGCAUCAACACACAGCCCACUGGAUCCAAGUACUGAUCAGGACAACACUAUCACUUUCCUGAUUGGAUUUGGUAUCUUGGUUCUCUUCAUGCUGGCUGGUAUCAUGGCCAGUGUGUUCUUGUGCAUAACCUUGAAGAAAGACCCAUAUCUUUGGGAAGUAGUGUUUGAUGGUGGACCAGCACCAUCUGAAGGACAACAGCCAUGUCAGGAACCUCAGUCAACUGAUGUAGCAGUAUGGGAAGAAAAAGAAUCACCUGCACCAUCAACACCUAAUUGUAAUAAGAAAUUCAAUGCUGACAGUAGCUUCUGCUGUAAUAAUAUUUCAGUUGAAAGUUAUAUUAUAGAGUGUCACAGAAAUGAAGAUGCUGUUCUAUAACAGAAACUGAAAGUCUGAACCAUAUUUCCUUUAUAUCAGACAUGUCAAAUAUGUUGUUCUGUUAAUACAAAUAUUUUGUCCUCAACAAAACAUACUUUAAACACUCUGUUGUUUGGAUUUCUAACAGGAUUGCAUGAAUGUAUGCAAUGAUUGGUUCAGAUGGUGUGAAGGCUUGAAGAGGAAUUAUGCAUGUCAUCAUGUCUCAGGUUUCACCUGUUACCUCAAAGCAGUAUUUUGAAAGGAAAACACUGAAGUGAAAGUAGGGAGAUGAUAAAUUUUGUUAGCCCUAUGUAUGUCAUUGGUAAUAUUUCCCAUUUUGAGGUUUUGAAGCAGACUCACAUAUUCUUUAUUACAUAUGUAUUAUUAUGACAAUUCUGUAAUAUUUUAUACUUUUACAUGAUAUUUGUGUGGUAAAGCAGCUCGAUCUUGUUCCAGGAAACCCUUGUGUUGUAACAAUGAGUGCAAAAAAUCAGUUCAAUUGCACAUCUAAAAACACACUUCAUUUUUUCCUCUUGAAUAUUCAUGAUGUAAUAAACAACUCAAUACAAAAAAAAUUAGAACUGUUCUAUCACAUGUAACACUGCAUAAAUUGCAAUUUGUUAUGCCAUCUUUUCUUCACAUAUUUUCAUACUGUAAUCUGUUUCAAAACCCACAUGACACCAAAUUUCAUCAAAAUCUGGUAAGACAUUAAAAAAACUAGAUAUUCAGACAGAUUAACAGUUUGUCAGACAUAAAUCUCCCCAAAAUUGAAAUAUUUUUCACCUUUUUUUUCUCCUUAGAGUAGAAGUCCAAUUUUCACAAACAAGUGUAAAAGAACAGGAAAAGUACAAUGGUAUUUAAUUAAAAGUUUGGUUUCCUUAAGCAGAAAGUAGAAAAAAUAUACAUUCUGUGAUAAUAUCUUUCAUGUUCUUCCAGAAAUGAUAACAUUAACUCAUCCCUAAAUUUUCAGAAUAUUCUUAACCCACACAAAAUAUUUUGCUUAUUAGGUAGUACUGUAUGUCUCUAUUGAAAUGAGGUCUGUCAUACAGCAAUCUAUAGCUACUUUCCAUAGAUGCUGAAAGUGAAAACAGUUCUCAUGUUGAAACCUGGUCUGAUAUGAGAGAGCUGUAAGAACAAUUUCUUAUGUCCUAUAUAUGAAUAUAACCGUGUGUGGCCGAAAUACGUUAUGAA
This is a long non-coding RNA of Cryptotermes secundus, 1919 nucleotides long. RefSeq lists it as uncharacterized. The record is from RefSeq and is a predicted model, not a curated record. The transcript has 2 exons. Lineage: Eukaryota; Metazoa; Arthropoda; Insecta; Blattodea; Kalotermitidae.